CCUCAGUAAUGGCGAAUGAAGCGGGAAUAGCUCAAAUUUAUAAUCAGCGACGCUUGCGUCGCCGAAUUGUAGUUACCAGAAGCGUCUUCUAGGUGGAACCGGCACCGUCCAAAUUGCUUGGAACAGUAUGUCGUAGAGGGUGACAACCCCGUCUGUGGCGGUGCCGACUGCUCAUGAUGCGCUUUCGAAGAGUCGGGUUGUUUGGGAAUGCAGCCCAAAAAGGGUGGUAAACUCCAUCUAAGGCUAAAUAGUGGCACGAGACCGAUAGCGAACAAGUACCGUGAGGGAAAGAUGAAAAGCACUUUGAAAAGAGAGUUAAAAAGUACGUGAAACCGUCAAAAGGGAAACGAAUGUGGCUAGCAGUGUGCCGUGCGAGAUUCAGCCGGUGGUGGCUCUGAUCGGGCGGUCCGCGGAUCCGAAUGGACCGUAAUCGUUCGCCUUCGGGGUUUCCGACCGUCGCACUUCUCGCCGGCGCGCGCCAACGUGGGUUGAUCGCGGGUUUUCAAAGUCCUAGACAAGGUAGGCCGGACGCCUUCGGGCCCUGGCUGUUAUAGGUCCUGGACGUAUGGCCCGCGGUCGACCGAGGAUUUGUUUGCGGUGCAUGCCUUUUUUUUUAGGCAAAGGCUUCGUCUCGAUGGUCGGCGGUCGAAUGCGGUGGACUGCGUGCAGUGCGCCGCGACUGUCGCCGGUCGCCGGGGCGGGUGUCCUGUUCGAUGCUCCAAGGACGCUGGCGUCGAAAUGGCCUUAUCCGACCCGUCUUGAAACACGGACCAAGGAGUCUAACAUGUGUGCGAGUAUUUGAGUGAAGGAAACUCGACGGCACAAUGAAAGUGAAGGUGGGCUUGCCCGCCGAGGUGAGAGCCCUCUGCGACACGGGGGGUGCAUCAUCGACCGACCUAUUCUGCUCUCAGGAAGGUUUGAGUAAGAGCACAUCU
Molecule: ribosomal RNA, 935 nt
Filed under: Boloceroides mcmurrichi
Lineage: Eukaryota; Metazoa; Cnidaria; Anthozoa; Actiniaria; Boloceroididae
Description: eukaryotic LSU rRNA
Rfam family: Eukaryotic large subunit ribosomal RNA
Source: RNAcentral